CCUACGGGCGGCAGCAGUCGAGAAUCAUUCACAAUGGGGGAAACCCUGAUGGUGCGACGCCGCGUGGGGGAAUGAAGGUCUUCGGAUUGUAAACCCCUGUCAUGUGGGAGCAAAUGAAAAAGAUAGUACCCCAAGAGGAAGAGACGGCUAACCCUGUUCCAGCAGCCGCGGUAAUUCAGAGGUCUCAAGCGGUGUUCGGAAUCACUGGGCGUAAAGCGUGCGUAGGCUGUUUCGUAAGGCGUGUGUGAAAGGUGCGGGCUCAACCCGCGGACGGCACAUGAUACUGCGAGACUAGAGUAAGGGAGAGGGAACCGGAAUUCUCGGUGUAGCAGUGAAAUGCGUAGAUAUCGAGAGGAACACUCGUGGCGAAGGCGGGUUCCUGGACAUUAACUGACGCUGAGGCACGAAGGCCAGGGGAGCGAAAGGGAUUAGAUACCCGGGUAGUC
RNAcentral lists this ribosomal RNA (446 nucleotides) under uncultured bacterium. Its description in RNAcentral is "partial 16S ribosomal RNA". It matches the Rfam family "Bacterial small subunit ribosomal RNA", at positions 338 to 795 of the family's 1533-position model. The record is from RNAcentral.